This 641-nucleotide ribosomal RNA is filed under the name Allobosea sp. I15B-00861. RNAcentral's name for it is "bacterial SSU rRNA". It matches the Rfam family "Bacterial small subunit ribosomal RNA", at positions 104 to 780 of the family's 1533-position model. The record is from RNAcentral. Lineage: Bacteria; Pseudomonadati; Pseudomonadota; Alphaproteobacteria; Hyphomicrobiales; Alloboseaceae.
GGGUGAGUAACACGUGGGAACGUACCUUUCGGUUCGGAAUAAUUCAGGGAAACUUGGACUAAUACCGGAUACGCCCUUCGGGGGAAAGAUUUAUCGCCGAUAGAUCGGCCCGCGUCUGAUUAGCUAGUUGGUGAGGUAAAGGCUCACCAAGGCGACGAUCAGUAGCUGGUCUGAGAGGAUGAUCAGCCACAUUGGGACUGAGACACGGCCCAAACUCCUACGGGAGGCAGCAGUGGGGAAUAUUGGACAAUGGGCGCAAGCCUGAUCCAGCCAUGCCGCGUGAGUGAUGAAGGCCUUAGGGUUGUAAAGCUCUUUUGUCCGGGAAGAUAAUGACUGUACCGGAAGAAUAAGCCCCGGCUAACUUCGUGCCAGCAGCCGCGGUAAUACGAAGGGGGCUAGCGUUGCUCGGAAUCACUGGGCGUAAAGGGCGCGUAGGCGGACUUUUAAGUCGGAGGUGAAAGCCCAGGGCUCAACCCUGGAAUUGCCUUCGAUACUGGGAGUCUUGAGUUCGGAAGAGGUUGGUGGAACUGCGAGUGUAGAGGUGAAAUUCGUAGAUAUUCGCAAGAACACCAGUGGCGAAGGCGGCCAACUGGUCCGAUACUGACGCUGAGGCGCGAAAGCGUGGGGAGCAAACAGGAUUA